CCAGCAGCUGCGGUAAUUCCAGCUCCAAUAGCGUAUAUUAAAGUUGUUGCGGUUAAAAAGCUCGUAGUUGAAUUUCUGCCGAGGACGACCUACCCACCUUAGGGUGCGUGUCAGCGUUGACCGAGGCAUCCUCCUAGAUGCGAUCGAGCUUAACCGUUCGGUUCGUGCUAGGACUUUUACUUUGAGGAAAUUAGAGUGUUUCAAACAGGCGUUCGCCGUGAAUACAUUAGCAUGGAAUAAUAAGAUAGGACUGCGGUUCUAUUUUGUUGGUUUCUAGAACUGAAGUAAUGAUUAAUAGGGACAGUCGGGGGCAUUCGUACUUAACUGUCAGAGGUGAAAUUCUUGGAUUUGUUAAAGACGAACUACUGCGAAAGCAUUUGCCAAGGAUGUUUUCAUUGAUCAAG
Molecule: ribosomal RNA, 404 nt
Filed under: uncultured eukaryote
Lineage: Eukaryota
Description: SSU rRNA
Rfam family: Eukaryotic small subunit ribosomal RNA
Source: RNAcentral